Long non-coding RNA from Cyprinus carpio carpio, 1034 nucleotides. The record is from Ensembl. NCBI's taxonomy places the organism in Eukaryota, Metazoa, Chordata, Actinopteri, Cypriniformes, Cyprinidae.
AUGAUACUGGAUUUGAAUAUUAAAGUGACUGCAUUUACCAGCUGCUUUCUGUCUUCAAUUUUAAUCUAUAAAAAACAGAAAAUCAUUCGUCUUGGCUGUUUUUGUAUGUGUGUAUGUGCGUGUGUUUUAUGUAACCAUGAGCGUCAUCCUUGCCUGCUGCCUCAUUUUUAAACUAAAUUACAGUACAGCUCAUUGCUGAGCUUUGAUUUAAUAUUGAGUGAUUUUGUUGAAAAAUGUAUUGUGUGUGUGCAUACCCAGCAAUUAAAAUACUUUCUCAGUUUAAUAUAAAAUAAGUCAACAAGAUGUAAACACUGUGGUGCUGUCAAAACAUUACUCUUAACAGCAAUAUUGUUUACAUGCACUUUGAAAAUUCAGUUUCAGUCAGAUUAAAACAGUAAUUAUUAUUUUUUAAAUUACUUACUGAAAUCAUACCAGUACCAUACCACUUUUGUGAAGUCAGUCAGACUAACAGAUUUAGAAGGUGAAAUAAUAGAGCAGCUUUGUCCAGCAUCUAAUCACACCACAGUUGGCCUCAGCUUUGUGUGCUUGACCUGAGAGAUAAAGGUCCUGCACAAUCUGUAUUUAAUCUUUUUUCGAAUUCGAAUUUCGAAUUGUGUCAUGUAUACCUGCACAAAGAGAAGACCUGACUAACAUAGUGCAAUUUUAAUUGAAUCAACCAUUAAUGUACGUUUUAGGCAGGACUAUCUGUUCGUUUGAAUCCAGUGGAAGCAAUGUUCAGAAAACUUUAGAAGAAGUCAUUAUUUGUUUCACACUUUAAGGGAAAGUUCACUGAUUUUCAACCAACUUUGUAUUGUUGCAAUGUUGGUAGUAUAUGAACAAAAUGCAGUAUUUUCCAUGUAUGUUAUUUUAAAGAUUAAGGGGACCAUAGAAAAAAUUUUAUGAAUUACUCAUUGAGAAAUCUUGAAGACUAGUGGAACGCAUCCCCUUCAAUGUCCGUCUGUGAAUACAGACUUGGAAUUUCUGGUUAUAUAUUCCAUGCUUCUUUAGUCACUCAGUUUCCUAGUCAAGCAGGA